Molecule: long non-coding RNA, 2037 nt
Organism: Chrysemys picta bellii (western painted turtle)
Lineage: Eukaryota; Metazoa; Chordata; Testudines; Emydidae
Source: RefSeq, a predicted model, not a curated record
UGAGGAUAGAGCUCUUCAGGGGGCAUGCAUGCAUGACUGGGAAGUAGUGAUGUGUAGGGCAGCUGGGCUCCACAUACCAAGAAGAGGUACCAGCACAGGAGUGGAAAAUGCCUGAAAGACCAAAUAUAGAGUCCGUGUCUGGAACUGCUCAGACCCAGUAAGCUUAAAAAGGCUGGGUCCCAUGUAGCAUCCUGGUAACCAUCGAAAUAGGGAAGCUCAGCCAGGGAUGUAUACAAUUUUCAGUCCACAUGGAGUAUUGCAUGUAUCAGGCAGCGGAAGCCUUCAGAGUACAUGCAGUUUGAAUGGAGCAGUCAGCCUAAGGCCUGGAGGAGAGUGAGCCAGACCCCUGGGAUGGGAUCAUCAAAGGUAGAGUGCCAGUUGUAUGUAUAUAUUCAAGUUCCAUCUUCAGCACCUGUUUAAAUCUUUGAUAAGCACCAAUGAGCAGAUCUUUAUAUCAACUCUGAUAUUUAUUUAUCAUCUGUCCCAAAGGAAACAAUUACUACUGUAAGUGGGAACAACUGAAAGUAAAAUAGUUAAAACUUUGGGAAAAGUGCAAUAGCUCAGAAAAAUAAGACUCUUGUAGCUUUGCCCUGUGUAGAGGACACUUUCUUAGUUGAAACUGGGCCUCAAAGCAGAUUUUGUAAAAGCAGGUUUUAUAAAACCUGAGGUGGGUUGAAGUUACAGUGGAAACAGCUGUUUUUAAACCGUCAUUCUCCUGAAGUGUUUCCAACUGAAACAUUGCAGCACAGAGAGCCUGCAAGUAAAGCAGAGUGAGUUCAUUGAUUUCCUUAGAUCAGUCUGAGAGGCAAACAAACAUAAUAAAUAAUGAGCAGUAAAAUCAAUUUUUAUUUUUCCUAUUCUUAGUAUAUGGGAGGGUUUUGUUAGUGCCAUAGGUAAAGAAUGUGUUUGUUUCUAAUCGGUGACUGUGUUGACACUGCAACUAACGUUAUUACUUUUCACAGUUUACAACACUUUAAGGCUAUGUAAUUUUUAUAGGACAUGGUUUCCCAUUAAUGGAGUUUGAACAGGGAAUGGAGCAUUUUUAUUUACAAUUCUUAAAUGAUGGUUAAUAACACAAGUGUUGUGCUGCUGUGUCGGGUUUUUUUUUAAAGCUACAUGCUCUUUUUCUGUCAAAUUCCAUCACCUCUGGUUAAAAAGGCAGCAUCAGAACCAUCUGUGAUGGGGUAUUCAUCCCACACAAACCCUGAAAGGAUUAAAGAAGCUCAGAAAGGGCCAGUUAGUGUGCUUGGCCCCACAUGAGGGAAUAGGCUGAAGGCACAACCUCUGACUGGAAGAUGAAGCUCACUUGAACAGGUAUGGGCUGGGCUAGUGUAAAGCCAGGAAGCUGGCAACGGAAAUGGUGGCAGUGAGGAAAUACACCUUCUAUGUAUUAGAGAGGGAAGGAGGUAACCUAGGAAAAGAGUAGGACCCUAGGAGCCUGGCCUGAGGAAAGGGCAUACACCGAAGGGGAAACCACAUAGUAACCUGGCCAGAAGGCCAAGUCACGAAGAGGAAGCUGCACCUCCUGGAGUGAAAAAGAGAACAGAUGUCGAGACCACACGGGAAGGCAUUGGUCCUGGAAGAGAGCUAAUCCCCCUGAGCAGCCAGGAGGAGGCACCACUUGUGAUAUCCUAUACUAGUUUCUAGUUUGGGAAUACACAGGAAAAGUUACUCUUGCAGUUAUCUUGAUAGUAUUUCUGCUCGUUGCCAAAAGCAGAAGCAGAGAAGCAUGCAAAGUGAGGAAGAACUUUCAUCAAAAAGUUUCCAACCAGAUCUGUUUAACAACCUAACAGAUACUAGGGGUGCAAAGUCUGAAGGUAAUUUCCAAAGGGGACAAAGCUGUUUUCUACCACAUGUUAUGUAGCAUUCUGUAGACAUCCGGGUGGGGGCUCGUCCCUUGCAGGGGCGAGUGGGAGCCAGGCCGCCUCACUCCACGGGGCUGGGGAACAGAUCAGUCUCGCAGGUCCAAGCCCUAAGUCGGGGCGGGGUCGCGAGCAAUCAGUAGUCCCAGGCUUAGGCCCUCAGGCAGGAGCUGAG